GUCGAGGGGCAGCAUGUCGGUUGCUUGCAACCGAUGAUGGCGACCGGCGCACGGGUGAGUAACGCGUAUCCAACCUACCCUUGCCCAUCGGAUAACCCGUCGAAAGGCGGCCUAACACGAUAUGCGGUUCACAGCAGGCAUCUAACGUGAACGAAAUGUGAAGGAGAAGGAUGGGGAUGCGUCUGAUUAGCUUGUUGGCGGGGUAACGGCCCACCAAGGCGACGAUCAGUAGGGGUUCUGAGAGGAAGGUCCCCCACAUUGGAACUGAGACACGGUCCAAACUCCUACGGGAGGCAGCAGUGAGGAAUAUUGGUCAAUGGACGAGAGUCUGAACCAGCCAAGUAGCGUGCAGGAUGACGGCCCUAUGGGUUGUAAACUGCUUUUAUAGGGGGAUAAAGUGUGUCACGUGUGGCAUAUUGCAGGUACCCUAUGAAUAAGGACCGGCUAAUUCCGUGCCAGCAGCCGCGGUAAUACGGAAGGUCCGGGCGUUAUCCGGGAUUUAUUGGGUUUAAAGGGAGCGUAGGCCGUCUUAUAAGCGUGUUGUGAAAUGUCGGGGCUCAACCUGGGCAUUGCAGCGCGAACUGUGAGACUUGAGUGCGCAGGAAGUAGGCGGAAUUCGUCGUGUAGCGGUGAAAUGCUUAGAUAUGACGAAGAACUCCG
This 660-nucleotide ribosomal RNA is filed under the name uncultured bacterium. RNAcentral's name for it is "bacterial SSU rRNA". It matches the Rfam family "Bacterial small subunit ribosomal RNA", at positions 61 to 711 of the family's 1533-position model. The record is from RNAcentral.